GGCAUAUGGUGAGGCGCGGUGAGACAACGAUUGUGUAUAACUGCACUGGCUAAUACCGCAUAAUGGCUACGGACCAGAAGGGGGCUUCGGCUCUCGCCUUUAGAUUGGCCCAAGUGGGAUUAGCUAGUUGGUGAGGUAAUGGCUCACCAAGGCGACGAUCCCUAGCUGGUUUGAGAGGAUGAUCAGCCACACUGGGACUGAGAACACGGCCCAGAACUCCUACGGGAGGCAGCAGUGGGGAAUAUUGCACAAUGGGCGCAAGCCUGAUGCACCCACUGCCGCGUGUGUGAAGAAGGCCUUCGGGUUGUAAAGCACUUUCAGUCAGGAGGAAAGGUUAAUAGUUAAUACCUCGCGUAGCUGUGACGUUACUGACAGAAAGAAAGCACCGGCUAACUCCGUGCCAGCAGCCGCGGUAAUACGGAGGGUGCGAGCGUUAAUCGGAAUUACUGGGCGUAAAGCGUACGCAGGCGGUUUGUUAAGCGAGAUGUGAAAGCCCCGGGCUCAACCUGGGAACUGCAUUUCGAACUGGCAAACUAGAGUGUGAUAGAGGGUGGUAGAAUUUCAGGUGUAGCGGUGAAAUGCGUAGAGAUCUGAAGGAAUACCGAUGGCGAAGGCAGCCACCUGGGUCAACACUGACGCUCAUGUACGAAAGCGUGGGGAGCAAACGGGAUUAGAUACCCCGGUAGUCCACGCCGUAAACGAUGUCUACUAGAAGCUCGGAACCUCGGUUCUGUUUUUCAAAGCUAACGCAUUAAGUAGACCGCCUGGGGAGUACGGCCGCAAGGUUAAAACUCAAAUGAAUUGACGGGGGCCCGCACAAGCGGUGGAGCAUG
Molecule: ribosomal RNA, 833 nt
Filed under: Pseudoalteromonas sp. TB34
Lineage: Bacteria; Pseudomonadati; Pseudomonadota; Gammaproteobacteria; Alteromonadales; Pseudoalteromonadaceae
Description: bacterial SSU rRNA
Rfam family: Bacterial small subunit ribosomal RNA
Source: RNAcentral